UGAUUGCUCUUCCUAUCAUUGUGAAGCAGAAUUCACCAGGCGUUGGAUUGUUCACCCACUAAUAGGGAAUGUGAGCUGUGAUUAUACCAUCAUGAGACGGGUC
RNAcentral lists this non-coding RNA (103 nucleotides) under Oryzias latipes (Japanese medaka). RNAcentral describes it as "Eukaryotic large subunit ribosomal RNA". It matches the Rfam family "Eukaryotic large subunit ribosomal RNA", at positions 2882 to 2984 of the family's 3401-position model. Lineage: Eukaryota; Metazoa; Chordata; Actinopteri; Beloniformes; Adrianichthyidae. The record is from Rfam by way of RNAcentral.